Podarcis lilfordi (Lilford's wall lizard) is the source of this 69-nucleotide non-coding RNA. NCBI's taxonomy places the organism in Eukaryota, Metazoa, Chordata, Lepidosauria, Squamata, Lacertidae. The record is from the annotation of a GenBank genome assembly.
GCCGUGGCUCAGUGGUAGAGCAUCUGUUUUGCAUGCAGAAGGUGCCAGGUUCAAUCCCUGGCUUGGGAG